RNAcentral lists this unclassified non-coding RNA (200 nucleotides) under uncultured Sebacinaceae. RNAcentral describes it as "sequence contains ITS2". Lineage: Eukaryota; Fungi; Basidiomycota; Agaricomycetes; Sebacinales; Sebacinaceae. RNAcentral also lists the same sequence under 1 other name. The record is from RNAcentral.
GUACUCUCACACUCCCAAUGCUUUUGGAUUGGGAGCGGUGGACUUGGGUGUUGCUGCUUUACGGUGGCUCGCCUCAAAUGGAGUAGUGCAACUCUUGGUUGGACAUAGUACGGCGUGAUAAGUGUCUUCGCCGGCGCCUCACUAGAGGGUGGCUGAUCAGGAGCUCUGUGCUUCAAACCGUCUUCGGACAAUCUCUGACA